UACGAAGGGGGCUAGCGUUGUUCGGAAUUACUGGGCGUAAAGCGCAUGUAGGCGGCGAUUCAAGUCGGGGGUGAAAUCCUGAGGCUCAACCUCAGAACUGCCUUCGAUACUGUAUUGCUGGAGUAUGGAAGAGGUAGGUGGAACUGCGAGUGUAGAGGUGAAAUUCGUAGAUAUUCGCAAGAACACCAGUGGCGAAGGCGGCCUACUGGUCCAUCACUGACGCUGAGAUGCGAAAGCGUGGGGAGCAAACAGG
RNAcentral lists this ribosomal RNA (253 nucleotides) under uncultured bacterium. RNAcentral's name for it is "partial 16S ribosomal RNA". It matches the Rfam family "Bacterial small subunit ribosomal RNA", at positions 524 to 776 of the family's 1533-position model. The record is from RNAcentral.